CAUACGCCUGUCUCAAAGCUUCACCCAUGCAUGUCUAAGUAUAAGCGAGUAUACUGUGAAACUGCGAAUGGCUCAUUAAAUCAGUUAUGGUUUAUUUGAUGGUACCUUGCUACUUGGAUAACCGUAGUAAUUCUAGAGCUAAUACAUGCAGGAGUUCCCGACUUCGGAAGGGAUGUAUUUAUUAGAUAAGAAACCAAACCGGUCUCCGGUUGCGUGCUGAGUCAUACUAACUGCUCGAAUCGCACGGCUUUACGCUGGCGAUGGUUCAUUCAAAUUUCUGCCCUAUCAGCUUUCGAUGGUAGGAUAGAGGCCUACCAUGGCGUUAACGGGUAACGGAGAAUUAGGGUUCGAUUCCGGA
RNAcentral lists this ribosomal RNA (358 nucleotides) under Rhizochromulina marina. RNAcentral describes it as "partial Eukaryotic small subunit ribosomal RNA". It matches the Rfam family "Eukaryotic small subunit ribosomal RNA", at positions 25 to 387 of the family's 1831-position model. Lineage: Eukaryota; Dictyochophyceae; Rhizochromulinales. The record is from RNAcentral.